Molecule: ribosomal RNA, 449 nt
Filed under: uncultured archaeon
Lineage: Archaea
Description: bacterial SSU rRNA
Rfam family: Archaeal small subunit ribosomal RNA
Source: RNAcentral
UUCCGGUUGAUCCUGCCGGACCCGACUGCUAUCCGGGUGAGACUUAGCCAUGCAAGUCUAAAGGAACACCUAAGCGUUCCUUGGCGUACUGCUCAGUAACGCGUGGUCAACUUACCCUGUGGAGGGAAAUAACCUCGGGAAACUGAGGAUAAUGUCCCAUAGGUGAAGAGGCUUGGAAUAGUUCUUCAUCGAAAGGUCUUGGUAAAUGGACCAAGUUCCGCCACAGGAUAGGACCGCGUCCGAUUAUGGUUGUUGGCGAGGUAACGGCUCACCAAGCCUAUAAUCGGUAGGGGCCGUGAGAGCGGGAGCCCCGAGAUGGGUACUGAGACAACGACCCAGGCCUUACGGGGUGCAGCAGGCGCGAAAACUUCGCAAUGCGCGAAAGCGUGACGAGGUUACCCGGAGUGCCUUCGCCUUAGGAAGGCUGUGGCGGGCGUAUAAAAUAACCC